This 538-nucleotide long non-coding RNA is filed under the name Carica papaya (papaya). Its description in RNAcentral is "long non-coding RNA (CPAP_LNC007730)". The record is from RNAcentral. Lineage: Eukaryota; Viridiplantae; Streptophyta; Magnoliopsida; Brassicales; Caricaceae.
AAAGGUCAAUAUAAGUCUUAAAAUCCUCAUCUCCCUUCACUUCCUCUCACUAGACUUCUUUCUUUGUUCGAGCUGCCUUCUCUCAUCUUCAAACUACCUUCUUUCACUUACUUGUAUGUCGUCAACCUUUUUUAAUGAGCUCACCACGCCACAUGGUCGCAAAUUUUUGCUUCUCCCUUCUCUCCUAUAAGCUUUUGGUCUUUUUUGGUUAAUCUAGCACGAAAAUGUGCGACUUUUGUCAUCGUUGUGGUGCUUCCAUUCCCCAUCCCGGCACUUAGCCCCAUUGCCUUUUGAACUUUUGUUUUGUCCUCUCCGUUUUUUGUCCAUUAUUGUCAAUUAUACAAGAAAAUAUGAGACUUUAUUCUUUGUUAAGCUGCUUCUUCCCCCCACGUUGUUGCAUUCAGGCUAACACUUACCUCUAUGUAACCUCUUCAAGAGAACUCUACUUAGUAAAGUAGUUAUCCAACCCAAAACCAUUUGGAAAGAGAAAGAAAUACGAAACAGUUGCCAAUUUUUUAAUCUGUAAAUGAAAGUCAAU